RNAcentral lists this transfer RNA (85 nucleotides) under Nannocystis sp. RNAcentral describes it as "tRNA-Leu". It matches the Rfam family "tRNA". From Rfam's summary of the family: Transfer RNA (tRNA) molecules are approximately 80 nucleotides in length. Their secondary structure includes four short double-helical elements and three loops (D, anti-codon, and T loops). Further hydrogen bonds mediate the characteristic L-shaped molecular structure. tRNAs have two regions of fundamental functional importance: the anti-codon, which is responsible for specific mRNA codon recognition, and the 3' end, to which the tRNAs corresponding amino acid is attached (by aminoacyl-tRNA synthetases). tRNAs cope with the degeneracy of the genetic code in two manners: having more than one tRNA (with a specific anti-codon) for a particular amino acid; and 'wobble' base-pairing, i.e. permitting non-standard base-pairing at the 3rd anti-codon position. Lineage: Bacteria; Pseudomonadati; Myxococcota; Nannocystales; Nannocystaceae. The record is from RNAcentral.
GCGAAGGUGGCGGAAUUGGUAGACGCACUAGACUAAGGAUCUAGCGGGGCGACCUGUGAGGGUUCGAGUCCCUCCCUUCGCACCA